Molecule: non-coding RNA, 409 nt
Filed under: uncultured fungus
Lineage: Eukaryota; Fungi
Also listed under: 1 other name
Source: RNAcentral
AGAGUUAAAUAGUACGUGAAAUUGUUGAAAGGGAAACGAUUGAAGUCAGUCAUGCUAGUGAAAAAUCAGUUUGACGGGUUUUGAGUUCUUGAGUAGAGGCAGGGUCAAACCGUUUCUCUUUUGGACUUGAGAUUUGUUAGAUGUACUUUUUCUUUGGCAGGUCAACGUCGGUUUCGGGGGUUGUAAAAUACUCGGGGAAAAGUAGCUCUGCUUCGGUAGAGUGUUAUAGACCCUGGGAGAUGCAGCCUGCGGGAUCGAGGAUUGCAGCAAAUGCCUUCGGGCUUGUCGCCUGUUCCUGGGUGUUACCUCUCUUGUGACAACAUUCUUGCCACCGGAGGGUACUAAUGCUCACUGUUUAGAGCGAUCGAAAAUUUUGCUAAGGAUGUUGACGUAAUGGCUUUAAACGACC